GUGAACGCUGGCGGUAGGCCUAACACAUGCAAGUCGAACGGCAGCACAGUAAGAGCUUGCUCUUACGGGUGGCGAGUGGCGGACGGGUGAGGAAUACAUCGGAAUCUACUUUUUCGUGGGGGAUAACGUAGGGAAACUUACGCUAAUACCGCAUACGACCUACGGGUGAAAGCAGGGGAUCUUCGGACCUUGCGCGAUUGAAUGAGCCGAUGUCGGAUUAGCUAGUUGGCGGGGUAAAGGCCCACCAAGGCGACGAUCCGUAGCUGGUCUGAGAGGAUGAUCAGCCACACUGGAACUGAGACACGGUCCAGACUCCUACGGGAGGCAGCAGUGGGGAAUAUUGGACAAUGGGCGCAAGCCUGAUCCAGCCAUACCGCGUGGGUGAAGAAGGCCUUCGGGUUGUAAAGCCCUUUUGUUGGGAAAGGAAAGCAGCAGGUUAAUACCCCGCUGUUCUGACGGUACCCAAAGAAUAAGCACCGGCUAACUUCGUG
This 491-nucleotide ribosomal RNA is filed under the name uncultured bacterium. Its description in RNAcentral is "partial 16S ribosomal RNA". It matches the Rfam family "Bacterial small subunit ribosomal RNA", at positions 29 to 507 of the family's 1533-position model. The record is from RNAcentral.